RNAcentral lists this ribosomal RNA (301 nucleotides) under uncultured bacterium. RNAcentral's name for it is "partial 16S ribosomal RNA". It matches the Rfam family "Bacterial small subunit ribosomal RNA", at positions 509 to 807 of the family's 1533-position model. The record is from RNAcentral.
CAGCAGCCGCGGUAAUACCGAGGGUGCGAGCGUUAAUCGGAUUUACUGGGCGUAAAGAGUGCGUAGGCGGCUUUUUAAGUCGGAUGUGAAAUCCCUGAGCUUAACUUAGGAAUUGCAUUCGAUACUGGGAAGCUAGAGUAUGGGAGAGGAUGGUAGAAUUCCAGGUGUAGCGGUGAAAUGCGUAGAGAUCUGGAGGAAUACCGAUGGCGAAGGCAACCAUCUGGCCUAAUACUGACGCUGAGGUACGAAAGCAUGGGGAGCAAACAGGAUUAGAUACCCCGGUAGUCCCUGUCUCUUAUAC